Eucalyptus grandis is the source of this 850-nucleotide long non-coding RNA. RefSeq lists it as uncharacterized. The transcript is spliced from 3 exons. The record is from RefSeq and is a predicted model, not a curated record. NCBI's taxonomy places the organism in Eukaryota, Viridiplantae, Streptophyta, Magnoliopsida, Myrtales, Myrtaceae.
AAAGUGAAAAGUGCAUUCUCUCUCCUCUGUCUUCUCUCUCCUCUUUGCUCUCUCUUCCUCCUCCGACGCUCCUUCCGAUCUAGCGAUUCCUCCGACGACCGUCGCUGCCUCCCGACGACAGCCUUUCUCUCUCCACUCGACGGCCUCAUCUCAAGGCUCCAUUCUCUCGGCGCACUUCUUCCUAAAUCGCGCUCUCUCCCGACGGCCGAUUUCGCUCGCCUCUCUCUGUCCCCCGACUCGCAACCGAGAAGCAAUCGCUCCGUCCUGUUCGAAGCAGUCGCUCGAGAAGCCCUAAAUCUGCGAGUCAGCAACGCGAGAAGUGAAACUGCGACUGUCUCUCUCUCUCUCUACCCUUGUCCGGUUUUUCCGUUCUUGGCAAAUUCGAAGAUGAGCCCACUUCUGGAUACAUGAUCUUAGGCCGACCCGUCAAGUCGAAGCCCGACGUAAUCUCGCUGCUUCGCUCCACCGAGCUGUUGAAUCGCUUGCGUCUGGGGGGUUUGAAGAUUUUCCGGGGGGGCAAUCGCCUGUUCCGUCAUUGCAGACUUCCAGGCGAGAAGAAAUGUGCCCACAAUAAUCACCCCAACACCGAACCGCCUCCUUUGUCCUCUCUCGCGAUACAAUUGCAGCAUCACAUAGUAUCUAUUGAAUACUACAACUGCAGCAAUAAAUGAUGUUGCCGAGAAUUACUUGCAACUGUCUUGAGUUUGAGAUAAUGUCUUAUAGAUUAUCAUUACAAUGGUGAAACAGCACCCAAAAAGAAAAAGGAGUGAGCAAGUUUUCAACAAUACAAGUCCCAAAAUGUAAUGGUGUUGCUUAAUUAGGUCGGUUGGAUACAGAACCAGCAAGGUCC